Molecule: long non-coding RNA, 813 nt
Filed under: Piliocolobus tephrosceles (Ugandan red Colobus)
Lineage: Eukaryota; Metazoa; Chordata; Mammalia; Primates; Cercopithecidae
Description: lncRNA (ENSPTEG00000033338.1)
Source: RNAcentral
GUUUUAUGAGUUGCAGGUAUCCAGGUAAUUUUCAUAUGUUCUGCAUCACAGUAUUUCCAUGGUAUUUUUAAAGGUGUGCAGUCAGAAAACAAUGGUGUCUUUAACCAUGGUAUAGACCUCGUGUUAUAGCAAGUUUCCAGGUAGAGAUGUAUCCUGCAAUGAUGGAAGUGAAUAAGAUUAUUUGCAAUUGUCCAAGUUGAAAAGGUGUGUCUGUAUCACAUUUGUCACAAUGCGUUUUUCAGGUUCCAGCCAGAAGAUCAUGUUGAACUUCAUAAUGACCAUUAAUGGGGGCUUUGCUUGUAGACAAGUGAUUAUGUGGGCCUUAAGCAUCCUACAGAUCAUGUGAUCUUCACAUAUCUUGGAGCAGCAGGACAUCUGGGGUUGAGAAGAUGGAGAGAGCAUCUUUAUAUAACGUUGCAAUCUGGAAGUAUCACUCUCAAAAAGGUUUUGAUAGACUAGAAAAAUGACAAGACUCCAAGUCCUUGAAGAGGAGGAAAAGUGUGAAGAAAACAAAAAAAGGAGAUUGAUGUCUGCUUCACCAUUUUGCCCAAGAUUUGACCUGUCAUGCACUGAAGCUCAGAGAGGAAGAAAGGACCAUGUGAGAGAAGAAGGGAGCAGCCUUUCAUCCAUAGGAGAAGUUUGUCUAUGACAAAGCCACUAGCUCCAUGUGGCCGCUGAGCACUCAAAAUGUGGCCAGUCUGAAUUGAAAUGUAAGUAUAAACUCCACAGUGGCUUUUUGAGCACUUUGUAUGAGAAAAAAGAAUACCAAAUAUCUCCUUAGUGAUUGUUACAUUGAUUAUAUGUUGAACGGAU